RNAcentral lists this long non-coding RNA (359 nucleotides) under Homo sapiens (human). RNAcentral describes it as "HSALNT0205273". Lineage: Eukaryota; Metazoa; Chordata; Mammalia; Primates; Hominidae. The record is from RNAcentral.
UAGAUUUAACCUUACAUCAUUUGGGAACUACUUUUCUCUCCAAUGUCAUCAGAUACAGGGUGGCAGUGUUUGUGUUUCUUGACAGCUAUAUAAAGGUGCAACAUUUAAGUAUUCAGUUUAAGAAGAAAUCCGCAUGUUAAUAAAUAAUGACAGACCUAAGAUAGUGCAGGAUAUCUGCCAACCAGAGUAGUAAUCGAUGACUAUCAACAACCUCAAAAAAGAGAGAAGGUAAACUUUGUAGCAGGUGCUUUAUAAAGCAAGCUUGAACUACAACUUUAUCUGAUUUGUGGAAAAGUUCUCAUUGAUCUGCAAAUGCCAUUUUCUGUAGAGGCUCUUACCUGCAACCUCCUAAAUUAUUU